AGGGAAUAUUGGUCAAUGGACGCAAGUCUGAACCAGCCAUGCCGCGUGCAGGAUGACAGCUUUCUGAGUUGUAAACUGCUUUUAUAUAGGAACAAAGAGGCCCUGCGGGCAAGUUGCGUGUACUAUAUGAAUA
This 133-nucleotide ribosomal RNA is filed under the name uncultured bacterium. RNAcentral describes it as "partial 16S ribosomal RNA". It matches the Rfam family "Bacterial small subunit ribosomal RNA", at positions 356 to 488 of the family's 1533-position model. The record is from RNAcentral.